CAACUUUCAACAAUGGAUCUCUUGGCUCCAGCAUCGAUGAAGAACGCAGCGAAAUGCGAUAACUAGUGUGAAUUGCAGAUUUCAGUGAAUCAUCGAGUCUUUGAACGCACAUUGCGCCUCUUGGUAUUCCUCGAGGCAUGCCUAUUCGAGCGUC
Molecule: ribosomal RNA, 154 nt
Filed under: Mycoleptodiscus terrestris
Lineage: Eukaryota; Fungi; Ascomycota; Dothideomycetes; Muyocopronales; Muyocopronaceae
Description: 5.8S ribosomal RNA
Rfam family: 5.8S ribosomal RNA
About the family: 5.8S ribosomal RNA (5.8S rRNA) is a component of the large subunit of the eukaryotic ribosome. It is transcribed by RNA polymerase I as part of the 45S precursor that also contains 18S and 28S rRNA.
Source: RNAcentral